RNAcentral lists this unclassified non-coding RNA (343 nucleotides) under soil metagenome. RNAcentral's name for it is "partial contains 5.8S ribosomal RNA, internal transcribed spacer 2, and large subunit ribosomal RNA". The stretch from base 1 to 120 matches the Rfam family "5.8S ribosomal RNA", at positions 35 to 154 of the family's 154-position model. The record is from RNAcentral.
GAUGAAGAACGUAGCGAAAUGCGAUAAGUAAUGUGAAUUGCAGAAUCCAGUGAAUCAUCGAAUCUUUGAACGCACAUUGCGCCCGCCAGCAUUCUGGCGGGCAUGCCUGUUCGAGCGUCAUUUCAACCCUCGUCCUCCCUUUGGGGAGGUCGGCGUUGGGGACCGGCAGCACACCGCCGGCCCUGAAAUGGAGUGGCGGCCCGUCCGCGGCGACCUCUGCGUAGUAAACCAACUCGCACCGGAACCCCGACGUGGCCACGCCGUAAAACACCCAACUUCUGAACGUUGACCUCGAAUCAGGUAGGACUACCCGCUGAACUUAAGCAUAUCAAUAAGCGGAGGA